UUAUCGGAGAGUUUGAUCCUGGCUCAGGACGAACGCUGGCGGCGUGCCUAAUACAUGCAAGUCGAGCGGACAGAUGGGAGCUUGCUCCCUGAUGUUAGCGGCGGACGGGUGAGUAACACGUGGGUAACCUGCCUGUAAGACUGGGAUAACUCCGGGAAACCGGGGCUAAUACCGGAUACUUGUUUGAACCGCAUGGUUCAAACAUAAAAGGUGGCUUCGGCUACCACUUACAGAUGGACCCGCGGCGCAUUAGCUAGUUGGUGAGGUAAUGGCUCACCAAGGCAACGA
RNAcentral lists this ribosomal RNA (288 nucleotides) under Bacillus sp. ISL-32. RNAcentral's name for it is "partial 16S ribosomal RNA". It matches the Rfam family "Bacterial small subunit ribosomal RNA", at positions 1 to 279 of the family's 1533-position model. The record is from RNAcentral. Lineage: Bacteria; Bacillati; Bacillota; Bacilli; Caryophanales; Bacillaceae.